Non-coding RNA from Meleagris gallopavo (turkey), 1636 nucleotides. The record is from RefSeq and is a predicted model, not a curated record. Lineage: Eukaryota; Metazoa; Chordata; Aves; Galliformes; Phasianidae.
UUUUUUUUUGCAUCUGAAUGGUGCCAAAUUUUUCCAGUGCUAAUUGCAUCUUCUGUGAUUCUAAGUGUGCUUCUAAUUUAGGUUUGUAACUUCUUAGACCAGGAGCUGCCAAAGAACAACACAAGCUUUGCAUAUAAUUACUGUCAAUUUUACUGUGCUCUGACACACUGAAUAGAGUAGGGCAGAAAGAAAUAAACUUCUGCCAUGACAAAAGGUCUGUUGGGAGUAUAUCCAUGAAAUUUUAAUUUGAACGUGAUGCAUGGUAGAUAUUUGAAGAUUUUAAAAUAUCUUUGCUCAUAAAUGUCACAAGACUUCUAUGAUCCUACUUUAAUUAUGUCUUUUAUUACAAUUGUUAUAAAUCUGUGCCACUGCAGAAAGUGUGCUGGCCUAAAUGUGUUGCCUUUUUUCAGAUCAGGCAUCUGCAAUAGGCCACAGUUGCAAUGAACAUCUCCGCUUAAGCAAAGCAUAUAUGUUUUGUGCAUUAAGUAAAGUCUUGCAGUCUUAGCUGCAUUGCUAUUCUGAGGACUUCCUUUUGCCACUAAUGGACAUCAGAAAGAAUAAAAGAAAUAAAAAAAAAAGUAGCAAAGGGAGUACUUUUUUUGGUCUGUAAGGCUUGAAGUGAAGAGGGGUGAAGGUGGAAAGACAGUGACAUUCUUUAUUUGUCUUAUUUACAGAAUAAAAAUAAAGUGGUCUUCAAAGGUAGACUUGCUGCUUGUUCUCGGUAUAGUCACUCAUCCUUUUCCUUAUGCACUUAGGUCAGCAGAAAAUAGCAUUGAUAUUUAUGUACCUGGCAUAAAGGAAGUUAUUUUUAUGUCUGACAAAUAUCAUGACUCUAUUGAAAUGACGGCGGCACGGCGGAUGUUUGAUUUAGCUGGUAUUGUGUACAGGGAAUUCAAGCCAAAAUGUACCAAGAUCAUCAUCGACUUUGAUUCAAUUAACAGCAGACCAAGUCAAAAACUUCUGUGAAUUAAGUCCCAUUAUAUCUCUAGAAGACUGUGAUUAUCCUUCUCUAAAAAGCUGCUAAUGCCUUUCAUGUUGAAGUUACUUGCAACUUUUUAAUGGUUUCUAUAGUAAAACAGACUUCUAAGAAAUGUAAGGCAUAAAAUGUUCCCCUCACUUCAUCUUGUCAUGUGGAAUCUAAAUCAACUUAAAAUUUUUAAUGCCUUUAUCAAAUCUGCUUUAAAAGUCUAGAGACAUGUAGAUGAGACAAUAUAAUGCAUGUACAGAAAACUGUUCUGGUUCUUGCUGCAUUCAUCACCACAUGCUCUGAUUGGUUGUCAGCACUGAUUUAGACUCAGUUAAACAGCAGUUCUUAUUGUAACCAGUAGCACAGUCAAAUAUGCUAAUAUAUGUUGAUCUCUCUAUUGGAUGUGUGGAUCUAAAUAGCUGAUCCUAAUAAAUGACAAAAUGUGUUAUCCAUAUAAAUACUAAUCUUCUAACUUGCAUAACACUAGUAUUUUAAAAGGUUAUACAGAUUAAAGUAUAUAUAGUAUUUUACAUGUGUUACCCAACAAAAGGAAGUUGAUUUUUCUAUUAACUGCUAUCUAACACUGUUACACUUGUGCAGUGGUGAGGCAGGAAGUUGUUCUGAGAAUGGUCAAUGGUGGAGCAAGCUUUAGAGACCUUUCAAUUUUUU